Molecule: non-coding RNA, 173 nt
Organism: Saccharicrinis fermentans
Lineage: Bacteria; Pseudomonadati; Bacteroidota; Bacteroidia; Marinilabiliales; Marinilabiliaceae
Source: Rfam
UAUAGGGUGACCUAUGCAGUGAAGGAAGCCAAACGGCAAACUCCGGUACUGACGGACAGAAACCGCAUAUGAGGCUUUAUAAACCGGAUGAGCAAACACAUCAUUGUGACGUCCAAACGCCAAGGAGGCGAGUGUUUAUAAAGUAGAUGCGGCAGGCAUUGGAGGUUAUUGGU